UACGGAGGGUGCAAGCGUUGUUCGGAAUUAUUGGGCGUAAAGAGCGUGUAGGCGGUUGGAUAAGUCAGGUGUGAAAUCCCGAGGCUCAACCUCGGAACUGCGCCUGAAACUGUUUAACUAGAGUACGGGAGAGGUAGGUGGAAUUCCUGGUGUAGAGGUGAAAUUCGUAGAUAUCAGGAGGAACACCGGUGGCGAAAGCGACCUACUGGACCGAUACUGACGCUGAGACGCGAAAGCGUGGGGAGCAAACAGGAUUAGAUACCCUCGUA
Molecule: ribosomal RNA, 269 nt
Filed under: uncultured prokaryote
Description: partial 16S ribosomal RNA
Rfam family: Bacterial small subunit ribosomal RNA
Source: RNAcentral